GUUCAAUAUUUGAACUCUGUUUGUGAUUGGUCAAUAUUUAUGCGAUUCUUUUUAUUGGUUAACCGAUGAGCGUCAGUUAACCAAUGAAAAGACUCGCAUAAAUUUAGACCAAUCACAAACAGAGUUCAAAUAUUGAAC
This 138-nucleotide microRNA precursor is filed under the name Paramuricea clavata. The record is from RNAcentral. Lineage: Eukaryota; Metazoa; Cnidaria; Anthozoa; Malacalcyonacea; Plexauridae.